RNAcentral lists this ribosomal RNA (253 nucleotides) under uncultured bacterium. RNAcentral's name for it is "partial 16S ribosomal RNA". It matches the Rfam family "Bacterial small subunit ribosomal RNA", at positions 524 to 776 of the family's 1533-position model. The record is from RNAcentral.
UACGUAGGUGGCGAGCGUUGUCCGGAUUUACUGGGCGUAAAGGGCGUGCAGGCGGUUUGCUAAGUCUAGGGUGAAAGCUCCCGGCUUAACUGGGAGAGGUCCUUGGAUACUGGCAGACUUGAGGAGGGUAGAGGAGAGUGGAAUUCCCGGUGUAGUGGUGAUAUGCGUAGAUAUCGGGAGGAACACCAGUGGCGAAGGCGGCUCUCUGGGCCCUACCUGACGCUGAGGAGCGAAAGCGUGGGGAGCGAACAGG